Long non-coding RNA from Dreissena polymorpha, 751 nucleotides. RefSeq lists it as uncharacterized. The record is from RefSeq and is a predicted model, not a curated record. The transcript has 3 exons. NCBI's taxonomy places the organism in Eukaryota, Metazoa, Mollusca, Bivalvia, Myida, Dreissenidae.
AUAAUACAUGUAUAUGAAGUAGUAUGCAAUAAAGAACAAAUCGAUAAUAAUACUUAUCACUACAUUUGGUUAUUCAUAUCUUAAAGGACGUUGUUCAUCAAUCGACAACAUACGAGCUUAAAGAGAGUGCUUACUGUGAAUGGUAUUGUACGAAAGUAAUACAACAAUGGGACGGCACAUGUCCUGUAUAUGGGUCAUGUCGGUGGUAUUGUCAGGCAAAACGCAAAGACUGCACCCCGGGUACACGAUAUCAUUGUGCCAGAGAUUUACAUAACAAGGACUUAUUUAUUGAAGCGUGCGCACCGGAAAUAUUUUGUUUGGCAGGAGAAGAACCUCAAAUAUCUUUACAUCAGAGUGGUAAAGCCAUUGUGCUUUGCCUACCAUGUUUCCGACGAAACAUGUACAAUGGUCGCCACAACACAUCAUCGGCGGUUUUUAGUGAAUGUCCUACUAUAAAAACAAACUUGUGUGUGCAGACAGAGCACAAAGUUGACUGUCACAAAACUUCAUUUUUGGAACUUACAAAAACUGACGGGUAUUGUCGGUGUGACGCAAGAAAUGGUUAUGCAGCGCAAUCAAAGGAAAUGUGUUUUUAUGAAAAUAAACGCUGCUUCAGGAAGAAAUGUUCUGCAGGCAACGUUCUUUCUUUGAAUUACACGUGUGUACAUGAAUGCCCCGUCGGAUUCGCACAAGAUGAAUCCGAUAUUUGCAGCACGCUGAAAAGGUACGUCUGUGCCUGUGUUGACGUUGG